ACCACAAUCCUCUUCUAAAUAGCUUGCUCUUAUGUAAAUGCCAGUGUCAAGAUGGUCAGAAGGUUCUCUAGGGAGAAAAGCAAGACACUGCUGCCUUCCCACUCCCCAGUGGCUGACUUUUCUGCCUCAUAGUUAGUCUGCUGCUGCUGCUGUUCAAAGCUGGAAAAUUCCCACUGGUGAUAUAAGUACACUUGGGUCCUGAGGUUGAGAGCUGAUUUCUGCAGAUGUAUCAGCGCAGCCAGCUCAAUAGCACAUUUUCCCGGGAGGUGAUAAGACUGGUUGGGACAGUAAAUAAUUAGCUUUUCUGCCUUUGGCUAUAGAAAUGAUUAUGAAUUUUUAAGCAAUGAGAAUGAUUGAAGCCAUUUCUGUUUGCUUUCUUUUAGUUGUGUUGCAAAGUUUAGCUUCAAGAAGGAAAAUACCCUCAGAGGAGGUUGAUAGACAGGUGGGAAAAUACAAAGAUGCCAAGAGAUCAGAACUGCUCCUCCACUUUGUCUUCGAUCCACCACCUGCCUGUGCCAGAAGACACCCUUCCUGAGCUCAAGCACAAUCACUGUGCUGUAGCUACAGCAAAUACCUUAUUCUUUCUGCUGUUUCCAAUGGAACUGCAAAUCAGACCGCUCAAUGGCUGUUGACACACACUGAGAAGCCUGAUAUCAUGGCACAAGACAAAUGUGCAUUGAAAACUUCCUCAAGGUGGCAGUGAGGGCCCAGAACAAUUGGCCUAAUGUGAUGGCUGUUAAAAUGUGCAACAGUGUUCUUCCCUCAUGACACCACGAGCCAUAUUCCUUGCUGGAAAGACUGGAAUUAGAUGUGAUGGAAAGUUGGGAAUUUCUACCAAACCACUGGAAGAAGCUGAAUGAGGCUCCUUCAAGUACUUCUUCAAGUAGCAAGAAGGAGACAAAUUCCAAUGUCAGUAAAACAUCCAGAGGAAGAAACUGACCUCCCUAGCUCUUCCCAAAGUGUAACUUAAAGUGUCUUUUCUGCAAAUUACAUUGAUUUAUUUUUGUCCUUCUCUUAGUGGCCAUGGAGAACAAAUGGUGACUGUCCUCUUUAAAGCGAUUGUUUACAUAUUGAAAAACUCAUACUUUUCCCUCUAGUCUUUCUUCUAUAGACUAAACAAACUUGGUUCCUUCAACAUUUCCUCAUCACUCAUGUUUUAUAAACCUUUUAUCAUUCCUGUAGCUUUCUUCUGGCCAAUCUCCAAUUUGUAUACAUCCUCAAUUCUGCUGGGCCAUGUUUGGUCAUGGCUGACAAUCUGUCCCAAGGAAAAAUGUCACACUUCUGGCUGAGAUGUUAGAGGUCUGUUUCCAGAUUCUGCAUAUUUCCAUGGUAAGCAUUUUACAUAUCCAUAAGCAUUUCGGCUUCUGUUAGUACCACUAAAUAUAUAAAGUAAAUAAAAACAAAACAAAACCAAAACUAAAUCA
This 1424-nucleotide long non-coding RNA is filed under the name Phasianus colchicus (ring-necked pheasant). RNAcentral describes it as "lncRNA (ENSPCLG00000016244.1)". Lineage: Eukaryota; Metazoa; Chordata; Aves; Galliformes; Phasianidae. The record is from RNAcentral.